UUCACUGUGGUGUUUUUAGCUUCCAGAAUACCGACGUUUUGUACUUUGUGCGCUCUUCAUCUCCGAAGAGGUUUUUGUGCGUAUUGACUGUUGCUACACUGCAUCAUCAGGUGUCCCCCGAACCAGUUCGACGACUAUGGCCGGCAGAGCAACAUCUCAUCGACGGUUGAGUGGGCGUGGUUCCCUGUGGCCGAUUCACCCACUCUUGGUGUGUCUAGUUGCCUGUGUUCUCGCCUACCAGAUAGCACCAUCUAUGGGCGUGUGCACCAGUAACCACCAGCCCACUAUUACACACAUAUGGCGUAAGCAUCUUGACAGGUUGACCGACAUCGCCCGCGAUAUCCUGGAUAACGACACUGUGGUCAUUCCGAACUCUUACAGCGACGAAGAGCUGAGGCAGACUAUGGCCGAUAUGCGCCAGUUGGCCCCGGGUACGAUGGCAAACUUCGACAUGAUGUGCGAGGGUGAGCUCGCAUUUGCUACGGACGAAUGGACAUGGAUGUGCCGCAACCAGCAGACGUUAGGAAGACGCUAAAAAGGGACAUGUUAUGAACACCGACGAGUCGGCGUGACGUAAUGAUGACGUCGGCUGUACUUUCAAUCAGGUUUGCUUAUAAAAUGAAUACGUAUGGAUUUGGUUUUGCUGGCGUUUAUUGUAAGUUUGUUUCUGACACACUAAUCGUAAAUUCUAGCUAGGGUUGUAUUCAAGUUAUUCUCUAUUUCAUCAACACUGGUAGAACUACACGUUAAUGUCGAGUCGUCAGCAUACAUGAACAAAUUACACCCUUCUUAUAUAAAUAUUAAAGAACAGUGGACCUACAAUAAUCCCUGUGGUACGCCGGUGUUAAGUGGUAGGGCAUUAGAAAUUGUGCCCUCAGUAUUCACAGACUGACUACGUUUACUGACCGAAUUGUUUACAUACAUCACUUCAUCCGAAGCUAAUUCGCCGGGGAUAUUAUAGCCGUAUUAUAUUCAAUUCGCUUGCUUUCUAGAAUCAAGUGGCUGCGUCGUGUUCAAAUCAGUAGUCAGUAAUAGUGUUGUACACUGAAAACACAUUGAACAUAACUAUAUAGUAUAUACUUUUUAUGUUGUACGGUUGAUCCCUUAGAUAUUAUGUAGGCACAUUCGUUCUGAUUAUGACGGUUAAAAAGGGUUAGGCUAUACAUUUUUAAUAUCUUUGUGUGGUUCGAGACUAGCAAGAUGGAACGAGUCUUAUUAAGUUAAAUGAUGAUUGGCAUUGACAUGCUUGUAUAAAACUGCAUGUCGGUGGCAUCUGUCAUCUUUUGGCGUCAGUUUGGUUUUUGUUAUUAUUGCGGGUUAUCGUCAGGGCAUGUGAUCUGUUACAGUGAAAUGGUACUAUAUAUUUAUUCAUAAUAAUAUUGUGCAAUUGUAAAUGUGCGUGUACUGAACCACUCAUUGUAAUAGAUUGAGACAUAGAAACAGCAAACUCACGGUGGUUUAAUUAUAAACAUUGUAGAUAGAUAAAGAGUAUAGUACUAUUUUCAAAUGCAUUGUUAACUUGAUGUUUUGAGUAUAAAGAUAAAGUGCAAUUUCGUGUUUUUGGUGUUUUUUUAAAUUAUUCAUAAAGAGUAUUGAACUGAACAACCUAGGAGAUUACUUAUCAUUAAAGGCAUUUCAAAAUGGAAUUGGGAUGAAAUGGAGUAAGAAUAAGAAAAAGCUA
Patiria miniata (bat star) is the source of this 1681-nucleotide long non-coding RNA. RefSeq lists it as uncharacterized. Lineage: Eukaryota; Metazoa; Echinodermata; Asteroidea; Valvatida; Asterinidae. The record is from RefSeq and is a predicted model, not a curated record. The transcript is spliced from 2 exons.